Non-coding RNA from Chiloscyllium plagiosum (whitespotted bambooshark), 122 nucleotides. NCBI's taxonomy places the organism in Eukaryota, Metazoa, Chordata, Chondrichthyes, Orectolobiformes, Hemiscylliidae. The record is from RefSeq and is a predicted model, not a curated record.
CUGAGAAUGGGGAGGAGGAUAGGGACUGACUCAGAGUGGGGCUGGGGAGAUGGUCCUCCCUCAUUUCAGGAGAGAGAAAAAUCUCACAUCUUACUCACAGUGGGAAGUGUCUGGAAAAGUUA